GAAAAUGACCGGUCAAAACGGAAUCAAUUAACUAUGGAUAGCUGAUACUAUCAAUUUAUCAUUACUCA
This 68-nucleotide transfer RNA is filed under the name Plasmodium falciparum (malaria parasite P. falciparum). Its description in RNAcentral is "tRNA-Val". The record is from RNAcentral. Lineage: Eukaryota; Apicomplexa; Aconoidasida; Haemosporida; Plasmodiidae.